RNAcentral lists this ribosomal RNA (167 nucleotides) under Brephamia parvula. Its description in RNAcentral is "partial 12S rRNA". Lineage: Eukaryota; Metazoa; Chordata; Actinopteri; Kurtiformes; Apogonidae. The record is from RNAcentral.
CACCGCGGUUAGACGAGGGGCCCGAGCUGACGCUCUCCGGCGUAAAGUGUGGUUAAAAGGCCCCCCCCCUAAAGUUAAACGCCUCUGGAGCUGUGAAAUGCCUUCGGAGGUAAGAAACCCUACUACGAAAGUGACUUUACACCCUUGAACCCACGAAAGCUAGGGUA